RNAcentral lists this ribosomal RNA (429 nucleotides) under bacterium. RNAcentral describes it as "partial 16S ribosomal RNA". It matches the Rfam family "Bacterial small subunit ribosomal RNA", at positions 355 to 776 of the family's 1533-position model. The record is from RNAcentral.
UAGGGAAUCUUCGGCAAUGGGGGCAACCCUGACCGAGCAACGCCGCGUGAGUGAAGAAGGUUUUCGGAUCGUAAAGCUCUGUUGUAAGAGAAGAACGUGUGUGAGAGUGGAAAGUUCACACAGUGACGGUAACUUACCAGAAAGGGACGGCUAACUACGUGCCAGCAGCCGCGGUAAUACGUAGGUCCCGAGCGUUGUCCGGAUUUAUUGGGCGUAAAGCGAGCGAAGGCGGUUGAAUAAGUCUGAAGUUAAAGGCAGUGGCUUAACCAUUGUUCGCUUUGGAAACUGUUAAACUUGAGUGCAGAAGGGGAGAGUGGAAUUCCAUGUGUAGCGGUGAAAUGCGUAGAUAUAUGGAGGAACACCGGUGGCGAAAGCGGCUCUCUGGUCUGUAACUGACGCUGAGGCUCGAAAGCGUGGGGAGCAAACAGG